GGGAUAAAUGCCUCUCCAUAGUCAAGUGUCUAGAGUAGGGCCGGAGCGUGGGAAACUCUGCGAUCACGGUAGCGGCCAUUUCUAAGGGCUGCAAGCUCUGACAGCUUAUGAGCGAGGACUUCAAAAUGUGUUUAACGUUUGAGUAAAGACGGCCUACAGUUCUCAGACCGACCGGCGCUGAAAAACCGCAGAGACAGCCCGAGCGUGGCUGUCCAGAUGUGGCUGAUCGUUCCGCCUGCAGACUUCAGGAGACGGAUAACUAGGACGGCUGGGGCUGCAGAAACCAUGGAGCAGUUUUUACGAGUGACAGCGCACAAAUGCCGGGAAAGCUUGUUAAAAAAGGCCCACGGAGGCGGCAGGUCCAGGGUGCGGCUCAGACUUGACGGUGAACAAGCGCGGUGACCCCGCAGUGCACGGGCGGAAGCCUGCGCUGGGGGUUAACGGUUAAGGAACGCGGCAUCGAGGCCGGCAGAGCUGCAGUGCUCAGAAGGGCCGGGAGCAAAGGCCACACUACACCCGCCCUCGCCUGCUCCAACUCGCCGCCGCCGCCGCCGCCGGAAGCCUGAGCCCGGGCCCGCCGUCCGGCCGGAAGCAGCCCGCCUCGUGAGCCCCGCCCGGCGUCCGGCCGCCCAACCCCGCGGCCAGAACAGAACGUACCUGCCUCAAGUCACCUGCUCCACCUCCGCGAGACCCGGCUGCAGCGCCCCCGCGUGAGGCUACUGAGCCAGCCAGGGCCCCGGCCACCGCGUGGAGCUCCGCGGGGCGGGGCGGGACGAAGCUGCCCACGUGACCCGAGCGCGGGUGACCCCGCCCCCGGGAGGGCAUCUGGGGUUUAGCUGGCCGACGACCCCACCUGACAGCGGCCGCCAACCACCCGCGCUCCGCCGGGACUUCCGAACUGACAGUCUUAAUCGUGUUUGACAAACGUGGAACUCCAAGUCCUGGGCAUGAAGCAAACGAAACACAAGCUGGCCAUAAGUGGGGUGUGGAGAAAGGAGUGUAGUCAGUGAACACCAGGAUAGUCUGCCCUGAGCCUGAAGCAAAACACCGGCCAUUAGUACUGAGCCAGGCUUAGCAAAUACGCACAGAGCUACGUGGGCCCAGCAAAGGCACAGCCCAGAACGCCUUAGGUGAUGUGGGCCUUAGGGCGCAGACUGCUGCUCCUUGACCUUGAACCAUGUUCAGAACAUAUUUAUUCUACCACACCGGGACUCAGCAGAG
Non-coding RNA from Delphinapterus leucas (beluga whale), 1221 nucleotides. The record is from RefSeq and is a predicted model, not a curated record. Lineage: Eukaryota; Metazoa; Chordata; Mammalia; Artiodactyla; Monodontidae.